AAUCGAAGCAGUGAACUUAAGCCCCAGUAAACGGCGGCCGUAACUAUAACGGUCCUAAGGUAGCGAAAUUCCUUGUCGGGUAAGUUCCGACCCGCACGAAAGGCGUAACGAUUUGGGCACUGUCUCAACAACAGACUCGGUGAAAUUGUAAUUCCGGUGAAGAUGCCGGAUACCUGCGACAGGACGGAAAGACCCCAUGGAGCUUUACUGUAGCUUGACAUUGGGUCUUGGUACUACAUGUACAGGAUAGGUGGGAGGCUUUGAAACCAGGACGCCAGUUUUGGCGGAGCCAUCCUUGGGAUACCACCCUUGUAGUACUGGGACUCUAACCAUAGGCCAUGAAUCUGGUCUUGGGACACUGUCAGGUGGGCAGUUUGACUGGGGCGGUCGCCUCCCAAAAGGUAACGGAGGCGCUCAAAGGUUCUCUCAGUACGGUCGGAAAUCGUACGUAGAGUGUAAAGGCAAAAGAG
RNAcentral lists this ribosomal RNA (470 nucleotides) under Clostridioides difficile. Its description in RNAcentral is "bacterial LSU rRNA". It matches the Rfam family "Bacterial large subunit ribosomal RNA", at positions 1897 to 2365 of the family's 2925-position model. Lineage: Bacteria; Bacillati; Bacillota; Clostridia; Peptostreptococcales; Peptostreptococcaceae. The record is from RNAcentral.